Molecule: long non-coding RNA, 924 nt
Organism: Patella vulgata (common limpet)
Lineage: Eukaryota; Metazoa; Mollusca; Gastropoda; Patellidae
Exons: 7
Source: RefSeq, a predicted model, not a curated record
CAUGUUUCUUUAGAAUACCUCACCUCUAAAUUAAGUGACGUAAUGCGUCGUUACUUUAGUCAUAUUAAAGGAUGUUUUCUGAGGUACAUGGACCUCCAAAUAUAGAUCGGGUUCAACCUACAGCGAUUAUUGCAUAGAAAACCAUGCUAUGGUUAUUGAAAUUGUUGGUGUAUAUUAGUUCCGUGUAUUGUAUGGAACCAUGUUGUACCAGUAACAAGUUUGAAACUGUUUUAGCAGAAGCUGGGGGAAUAUAUGUGUCUAAUACGACCACUGUUCCUAUAGAUGUGUGGAAUGAAAUGUAUUAUGAUUAUGAUAGAAAGAUGAUGACAUUAGAAACUCAUACUAGACUACCUGGUGGUCAGUAUAAACUAAUUACAAUUAUCAUGGACUUUAAACAGCAAUUAGAGUUCGCUAUAGACGGUGAUAAUUGUACUGUUAUUCAAGUAAAGGAAGGCAUGCAGAAACCGUGUAUACCAAACGCUGCAUCUUACCUGGGCACCAACUCGAUAGGCUACGGUGAGGAGGUAAUAAAGUUUACAUCGUGGGAAUUUAAUACACCCGAGUCUGAUGUUAGUACUAAGUUAACGGUUACAGCUAAAGAUUGUGUACCACUGACACAAUCGAUGUAUGGCACCGUUAGAGGAUAUAAAACUGCUGUAAGCUUCACGUAUGCUAACUUUAAGCCAAGAAUAACAGAUGAUUCCGUGUUUGAUGUCCCCAGUAAAUGUCAACAGGUUUAUUCACAUGUGCAUGAUACAAAACUAGCAGGACGAACUGCCUUGGAUGGCAUUAAAGCUAUAUUUACCUGACAACCCUUUAAGAGUGGUUUCCCUUGAUCUCUGAUAUACCUUUGCGUGUAUCUUGAAUUUAAUGUGUUGUAUCCAGUGUUAAAUGCAUUGAUAUCAUUAAAAUAUUUAAAUAUAA